RNAcentral lists this ribosomal RNA (301 nucleotides) under uncultured bacterium. RNAcentral's name for it is "partial 16S ribosomal RNA". It matches the Rfam family "Bacterial small subunit ribosomal RNA", at positions 509 to 807 of the family's 1533-position model. The record is from RNAcentral.
CAGUCGCCACGGUAAUACGAAGGGGGCUAGCGUUGUUCGGAUUUACUGGGCGUAAAGCGCACGUAGGCGGACUUUUAAGUCAGGGGUGAAAUCCCGGGGCUCAACCCCGGAACUGCCUUUGAUACUGGAAGUCCUGAGUAUGGUAGAGGUGAGUGGAAUUCCGAGUGUAGAGGUGAAAUUCGUAGAUAUUCGGAGGAACACCAGUGGCGAAGGCGGCUCACUGGACCAUUACUGACGCUGAGGUGCGAAAGCGUGGGGAGCAAACAGGAUUAGAUACCCCUGUAGUCCCUGUCUCUUAUAC